Molecule: ribosomal RNA, 542 nt
Filed under: uncultured bacterium
Lineage: Bacteria
Description: bacterial SSU rRNA
Rfam family: Bacterial small subunit ribosomal RNA
Source: RNAcentral
CUGGUCUUGACAUCCCUCUGACAGGACAGUAAUGUGUCUUUUCCUACGGGACAGAGGAGACAGGUGGUGCAUGGUUGUCGUCAGCUCGUGUCGUGAGAUGUUGGGUUAAGUCCCGCAACGAGCGCAACCCCUGCCUUCAGUAGCCAGCACAUAAAGGUGGGCACUCUGGAGGGACAGCCGAGGAUAACUCGGAGGAAGGCGGGGAUGACGUCAAAUCAUCAUGCCCCUUAUGGCCAGGGCUACACACGUGCUACAAUGGCGCAAACAAAGGGAAGCAGAGCUGUGAGGCCGAGCAAAUCCCAAAAACAGCGUCCCAGUUCGGAUUGUAGUCUGCAACUCGACUACAUGAAGCCGGAAUCGCUAGUAAUCGCGAAUCAGAAUGUCGCGGUGAAUACGUUCCCGGGUCUUGUACACACCGCCCGUCACACCAUGGGAGCCGGAAAUGCCCGAAGUCAGUGGCCCAACCGCAAGGAGGGAGCUGCCGAAGGUGGAGCUGGUGACUGGGGUGAAGUCGUAACAAGGUAGCCGUAUCGGAAGGUGCG